UUUGAUUCUAGUAUGGUUCGUUGGUGGUGUGUCACCUAUUUUCAUUUGUUUUUUUUUUCAGCUUUCCUCGCUCUGCCUCGGGAGGCGUCGUGGUGAUGCUUAAGUUAUUUUCCAGUUUGUUUUCUUUCGUUGUAUUUCCUCUUUUCUGAUCAAUAUUAUGAUUUGUUAUUGUGUUUGGGUCUCUUCACCAUGGAAGAAUGAAAAAACAUGGAUAUCAUAAAAAAAUCAAACUCCAGUCUAGAGAUCAUUCCCGAAUGUAUC
This 261-nucleotide long non-coding RNA is filed under the name Lathyrus oleraceus (garden pea). Its description in RNAcentral is "Pisum sativum (pea) long non-coding RNA (PSAT_LNC004525)". The record is from RNAcentral. Lineage: Eukaryota; Viridiplantae; Streptophyta; Magnoliopsida; Fabales; Fabaceae.